RNAcentral lists this ribosomal RNA (515 nucleotides) under uncultured Bacillota bacterium. RNAcentral's name for it is "bacterial SSU rRNA". It matches the Rfam family "Bacterial small subunit ribosomal RNA", at positions 353 to 889 of the family's 1533-position model. Lineage: Bacteria; Bacillati; Bacillota. The record is from RNAcentral.
AGUGGGGAAUCUUGCACAAUGGAGGGAACUCUGAUGCAGCGACGUCGCGUGAACGAUGAAGGCUUUCGAGUCGUAAAGUUCUGUCCUAUGGGACGAUAAUGACGGUACCAUAGGAGGAAGUCCCGGCUAACUACGUGCCAGCAACCGCGGUAAUACGUAGGGGGCGAACGUUGUCCGGAUUUAUUGGGCGUAAAGGGUACGCAGGCGGCCAUGUAAGUCAGAUGUGAAAUCCUAGGGCUUAACCCUAGUUAGCAUUUGAAACUGUGUGGCUUGAGUUAAGGAGAGGAAAGUGGAAUUCCUAGUGUAGCGGUGAAAUGCGUAGAUAUUAGGAGGAAUACCAGUGGCGAAGGCGACUUUCUGGACUUAUACUGACGCUGAGGUACGAAAGCGUGGGGAGCAAACAGGAUUAGAUACCCUGGUAGUCCACGCCGUAAACGAUGAGUGCUAGGUGUCGGGGGUCAAACCUCGGUGCCGCAGCUAACGCAUUAAGCACUCCGCCUGGGAGACACGCAUGU